This is a long non-coding RNA of Pelobates fuscus (common spadefoot toad), 508 nucleotides long. RefSeq lists it as uncharacterized. The transcript is spliced from 2 exons. Lineage: Eukaryota; Metazoa; Chordata; Amphibia; Anura; Pelobatidae. The record is from RefSeq and is a predicted model, not a curated record.
UCUUUGCUGCUGAGAGUAAUAAAGAAAGAGAUAUGCAUAAUACUCGCCUCCGUGUCUUUAAUAAAAUCAGGAUCAAAGGGAUAGUGUCUACACACACUACUUUUGCAUGCUAUUCCUACUCUAAUAAACAAUUGGAGGACUUACAUGCAUUUUGUGAGUACUGCUCAUUUUUUUUUGGUUAAAGAACUAACAAAAACGCAAUGUACUUGAGAAAAGCACUGUGACGCUUUUCAUGGAUAUUGUGGAGAAGCCACCUAAACGGAAAUCUCUCUCUAUUAUUCCAUUUUUUUUACACAUUCUGCAUUUUAAUCCUGCUCUGUCCCACCUUCCCCAGUCUACAAUUCUCCCGUUUUGCAGAUUAUUCAACUGGCAUGCAUGAAGUCACGGUUCCUCAUCUGUGCCUCCAAUCAUGCAGCGUUUCUCCAAUAACACAGUAAUACUUUUAUGAAGCACAGCAAACGUUUCUAGAAGUUGUAGUCCAGGCAACAACAUUUACAAAUAAAAAGCC